This 443-nucleotide ribosomal RNA is filed under the name uncultured bacterium. RNAcentral's name for it is "partial 16S ribosomal RNA". It matches the Rfam family "Bacterial small subunit ribosomal RNA", at positions 354 to 796 of the family's 1533-position model. The record is from RNAcentral.
GUAGGGAAUAUUGGGAAAUGGUCGGAAGACUGACCCAGCCAUGCCGCGUGCAGGAAGACGGCCCUCUGGGUUGUAAACUGCUUUUAUCUGGGAAGAAAAAGGCCAUGCGUGGCAAAUUGCCGGUACCAGAUGAAUAAGCACCGGCUAACUCCGUGCCAGCAGCCGCGGUAAUACGGAGGGUGCGAGCGUUGUCCGGAUUUAUUGGGUUUAAAGGGUGCGUAGGCGGCUGAUUAAGUCAGCGGUGAAAGACUUCGGCUUAACCGGAGCAGUGCCGUUGAUACUGGUUGGCUUGAGUGUCGGAGGGGUACAUGGAAUUGAUGGUGUAGCGGUGAAAUGCAUAGAUACCAUCAGGAACACCGAUAGCGAAGGCAUUGUACUGGCCGACAACUGACGCUGAUGCACGAAAGUGUGGGGAUCGAACAGGAUUAGAUACCCGGGUGUCC